GAGUUUGAUCAUGGCUCAGGAUGAACGCUAGCGGCAGGCUUAACACAUGCAAGUCGAGGGGCAUCACGAGGUAGCAAUACUUUGGUGGCGACCGGCGUACGGGUGCGUAACACGUAUGCAACCUUCCUGUAAGUGUGGGAUAGCCUCCUGAAAGGGAGAUUAAUACCUCAUGAUAUGUAUUUGCUGCAUGGCAUUUACAUUAAACAUUUAUGGCUUACAGAUGGGCAUGCGUUCCAUUAGGCAGUUGGUGUGGUAACGGCUCACCAAACCUACGAUGGAUAGGGGUUCUGAGAGGAAGGUCCCCCACACUGGAACUGAGACACGGUCCAGACUCCUACGGGAGGCAGCAGUGAGGAAUAUUGGUCAAUGGGCGCGAGCCUGAACCAGCCACGUCGCGUGAAGGAUGACGGCCUUAUGGGUUGUAAACUUCUUUUACGGGGGAAUAAAGUGAGUCACGUGUGAUUUUUUGCAUGUACCCUGUGAAUAAGCAUCGGCUAACUCCGUGCCAGCAGCCGCGGUAAUACGGAGGAUGCGAGCGUUAUCCGGAUUUAUUGGGUUUAAAGGGUGCGUAGGCGGGAUAUUAAGUCAGCGGUGAAAGUUUUCGGCUCAACCUUAAAAUUGCCGUUGAAACUGUUAUUCUUGAGUGCAGUAGAGGUAGGCGGAAUUCGUUGUGUAGCGGUGAAAUGCGUAGAUAUAACGAGGAACUCCGAUUGCGUAGGCAGCUUACUAUAUUGCUACUGACGCUGAGGCACGAAAGUGUGGGUAUCAAACAGGAUUAGAUACCCUGGUAGUCCACACAGUAAACGAUGAA
RNAcentral lists this ribosomal RNA (811 nucleotides) under uncultured bacterium. RNAcentral describes it as "bacterial SSU rRNA". It matches the Rfam family "Bacterial small subunit ribosomal RNA", at positions 9 to 813 of the family's 1533-position model. The record is from RNAcentral.